RNAcentral lists this ribosomal RNA (383 nucleotides) under uncultured bacterium. RNAcentral's name for it is "bacterial SSU rRNA". It matches the Rfam family "Bacterial small subunit ribosomal RNA", at positions 29 to 414 of the family's 1533-position model. The record is from RNAcentral.
ACGAACGCUGGCGGCGUGCUUAACACAUGCAAGUCGAGCGGUAAGGCCCUUUCGGGGGUACACGAGCGGCGAACGGGUGAGUAACACGUGGGUGACCUGCCCUCAGCUCUGGGAUAAGCCUGGGAAACUGGGUCUAAUACUGGAUAUGACUCCACGGUGCAUGUCGUGGGGUGGAAAGCCUUGUGCGGCUGAGGAUGGGCCCGCGGCCUAUCAGCUUGUUGGUGGGGUGAUGGCCUACCAAGGCGACGACGGGUAGCCGGCCUGAGAGGGCGACCGGCCACACUGGGACUGAGACACGGCCCAGACUCCUACGGGAGGCAGCAGUGGGGAAUCUUGCGCAAUGGCGAAAGCCUGACGCAGCGACGCCGCGUGAGGGAUGACGG